AUGUGGGAGUCUCAUGACUCUUUCUCGCCAUUGUUAUCUAAUCUUUGGCAGGAAAAGGGAAAGGCCACCACAUGUGGUGAGCUACAGCACAAGCUGGAAUCCAUCUCGACCAAGUUGCAGUCUUGGGAACGUGACACCUUUGGUAGUGUUAAAAGGCGAAUCAGCGAACUUACCACUGAGCUGGGAAGACUGAGAGCUGAUCCGAUCCGGGUUGGCCCUAGUCAUGCGGAGAUAAAGAUCAGCAACAUGCUCAUUGAAUUACAACAGAGAGAGGAGGUGAUGUGGCGCCAAAGGUCGAGGAUCCAAUGGUUGUCUGAAGGUGACAAGAAUACAAAUUUUUUUCAUCUCCGUGCUAGUCAGAGAAGGAAGAAAAAUCGUAUUACUCGGUUGAGGAGGGAAGAUGGAGAGUACACGGAGGAUGAGGCAGAAAUGUGUGCGCUAGCAACAGCCUUAUAUACUGACUUAUAUGGGUCCGAGGCGACUCACGGCUUGGAGGAGGUUCUAAAUGUGGUACAGACCAGGGUGACACAUGACAUGAACGAGCUGUUGAUCGCCCCUUUUGAUGGAAAGGAGGUUAGGACGGCAUUAUUCCAGAUGUUCCUGACCAAGUCUCCUGGUCCGGACGGGUACCCGGCACACUUUUUCCAGCGCCAUUGGGCAGUGUGUGGGGAGGAAGUUACCAUGGCAGUGCUGCGGUUACUGCGAGGUGAGGAAGAUAUGGCAUCUAUUAAUCAAACCUUUUUAGUGCUGAUUCCUAAAGUUGCCAGCCCGGAAGAUCUUAGCCAGUUCAGACCUAUAGCAUUGUGCAAUGUUUUAUACAAAAUUGCCUCAAAGGUUUUGGUGAAUCGUUUGAAGAUAAUCCUCCCGGAGAUUGUAGCAGAGGAGCAGUCGGCAUUUGUUCCUGGGCGCCUUAUUACAGAUAACAUUAUUACUGCUUUUGAAUGUCUACAUUUUAUGAAGGGAAACAAAGCAAAGAAGAACAAUUUCUGUGCUCUCAAGCUGGACAUGAGGAAAGCUUAUGACAGAAUUGAGUGGAGCUACCUACGUGCAAUCAUGUCCAAGCUUGGUUUUCACCAACAGUGGGUUAAUAUGGUAAUGAGGCUUGUUUCAAUAGUCUCUUUUUCCAUUCUCUUCAAUGGUGUGAAGUCUGAAAAGUUUGCCCCCUCCCGAGGUUUAAGACAAGGUGAUCCAAUAUCUCCGUAUUUGUUUUUGUUAGCAGCAGAGGGCUUAUCAAGCCUCAUAAAAGAUCGUUGUGAAUCAUCAGCUCUUCAAGGUGUAAAAGUGGCAGAGUCGGCACCGGCGAUAAGCCACUUACUGUUUGCAGAUGUUUGCCUGCUGUUUUUCAAGGCAAAUCUGGAGAGUGCGAAUCACAUUCGGGAUGUUUUGGAAUUAUAUUGUAAUGCGUUAGGGCAGCGAGUAAAUCUGGACAAAUCGUCCAUUUUCUUCAGCAAGGGGUGCUCGGAGGCAUUGAGACAUGAUAUUAAAGAUUGGCUUGAUGUCCACCAGGAGACACUGAAUGAGAAAUACCUAGGAAUGCCAAUUGAUGUGGGGCGAGAUAAAAAUGGUAAACUCCAGUUCUUGAAAGACAGAAUAUGGAAGCGGGUGCAGGGUUGGUUUGAGAAGACAUUGUCAGCAGCAGCUAAAGAUGUCCUCAUCAAAUCUGUAGCGCAGGCGAUACCCACUUACUCGAUGUCAUGUUUCAGGUUACCAAGAGGCUUAUGCCAGGAGAUCAAUUCCAUCCUACGUAAGUUCUGGUGGGGAUGUAAAGCUGGUGAACGAAAAGCUUGUUGGGUGGCAUGGUCGGAUAUGACAAAGCCACGGUACAUGGGAGGACUAGGGUUUAGGGACAUAGAAUUGUUCAACCUAGCUCUUUUAGCUCGUCAAGCAUGGCGGGUUCUACAAUCACCAGAUAGUUUGAGUGCGAGGAUACUCAAAGCGAGAUACUUCCCAGCAACAGAGUUCUUGCAAGCAGAUUUGGGCUCGCGACCGUCGCAGGUAUGGCGAGCUAUCCUUGAUGGGAGAGAUACUCUGAAGCAAGGGAUAAUUAAGAGAAUUGGUACGGGCGAAGCUACCGAUCCAUGGAAUGAUAACUGGCUGCCCCGAGAUGGGAGACUACGACCUAUUGCUUGCCUGGCGGCGCAUGCCCCUUCCAGGGUGAGUGAGUUCAUUGAUCGUACGUCAGCAACAUGGAACUGUGAGAAGCUUAAGGAGUGUUUUCCUGCCGAUGGAUGUGGAGGCGAUUCUGAACCUCCCUUUGUCGACCAGGAACCAGCAGGACGAGUGGGCUUGGCACUAUGA
RNAcentral lists this ribosomal RNA (2298 nucleotides) under Triticum aestivum (bread wheat). RNAcentral describes it as "partial small subunit ribosomal RNA". Lineage: Eukaryota; Viridiplantae; Streptophyta; Magnoliopsida; Poales; Poaceae. The record is from RNAcentral.